Molecule: ribosomal RNA, 468 nt
Filed under: uncultured bacterium
Lineage: Bacteria
Description: partial 16S ribosomal RNA
Rfam family: Bacterial small subunit ribosomal RNA
Source: RNAcentral
GACGAACGCUGGCGGCGUGCUUAACACAUGCAAGUCGAACGGAAAGGCCCUGCUUUUGUGGGGUGUUCGCGUGGCGAACGGGUGAGUAACAUGUGAGUAACCUGCCCUUGACUUUGGGAUAACUUCAGGAAACUGCGGCUACUACCGGAUAGGAGCUCCUGCUGCAUGGUGGGGUUUGGACAGUUUGGGCGGUUGGGGAUGGACUUGCGGCUUAUCAGCUUGUUGGUGGGGUAGUGGCUUACGCGGGGUUUGGUGGGUAGUCGGCCUGAGAGGUUGACCGGCCACAUGGGGACUGAGAUACGGCGCAGACGCCUACGGGAGGCAGCAGUGGGGAAUAUUGCACAAUGGGCCGGAGCCUGAUGCAGCGACGCCGCGUGCGGGAUGACGGCCUUCGGGUUAUAAACCGCUUUCGCCUGUGACGAAGCGUGAGUGACGGUAAUGGGUAAAGAAGCACCGGCUAACUACGUG